GACGAACGCUGGCGGCGUGCUUAACACAUGCAAGUCGAACGAGACGAUUGAAAGCUUGCUUUCGAAAGUCGAGUGGCAAACGGGUGAGUAACGCGUAGACAACCUGCCUUUGAGAUGGGGACAACAGUUCGAAAGGACUGCUAAUACCGAAUGUUGUAUAUUUUCCACAUGGAAGAUAUAUUAAAGAUGGCCUCUAUUUAUAAGCUAUCGCUCAAAGAUGGGUCUGCGUCUGAUUAGCUGGUUGGUGGGGUAACGGCCUACCAAGGCGACGAUAAGUAGCCGGUCUGGGAGGAUGAACGGGCACAUUGGGACUGAGACACGGCCCAGACUCCUACGGGAGGCAGCAGUGGGGAAUCUUCCACAAUGGACGAAAGUCUGAUGGAGCAACGCCGCGUGAGUGAAGAAGGGUUUCGGCUCGUAAAGCUCUGUUGUCGGGGACGAAUGUGCAGUAUUUGAAUAAAGUACUGCAAUGACGGUACCUGACGAGGAAGCCACGGCUAACUACGUGCCAGCCGCCGCAGUAA
This 524-nucleotide ribosomal RNA is filed under the name uncultured bacterium. RNAcentral's name for it is "partial 16S ribosomal RNA". It matches the Rfam family "Bacterial small subunit ribosomal RNA", at positions 28 to 523 of the family's 1533-position model. The record is from RNAcentral.